This 225-nucleotide unclassified non-coding RNA is filed under the name Hevea brasiliensis (rubber tree). Lineage: Eukaryota; Viridiplantae; Streptophyta; Magnoliopsida; Malpighiales; Euphorbiaceae. The record is from RNAcentral.
GAAAGUCAGAAAAAUGUAAGCGCAUUUACCCUGUUUAUAAUCUAUUCAAUUUUGGGCAGAAUUUUUCGAUUUUGUGGUGUUUGGAGUAAUGGGUGGCUCAAUUUGUUGUUUGUUUCAAUUUUGAGCGAAAAUUUUGGAUUGAAUAGCUAGCUUUUGUGGAUUUAUUUAUUUUACUUUCUAGUAAUGAUUUUGAUUUACGAAGCCGGAGUUUGUUUGAUAUCUCAG